This 405-nucleotide ribosomal RNA is filed under the name uncultured bacterium. Its description in RNAcentral is "bacterial SSU rRNA". It matches the Rfam family "Bacterial small subunit ribosomal RNA", at positions 355 to 774 of the family's 1533-position model. The record is from RNAcentral.
UGGGGAAGUAUUGGACAAUGGGCGAAAGCCUGAUCCAGCCAUGCCGCGUGAGUGACGAAGGCCUUAGGGUUGUAAAACUCUUUCGUCGGGGACGAUUAAUGACGGUACCCGAAGAAGAAGCUCCGGCUAACUUCGUGCCAGCAGCCGCGGUAAUACGAAGGGAGCUAGCGUUGUUCGGAAUCACUGGGCGUAAAGCGCACGUAGGCGGAUAGUUAAGUCAGGGGUGAAAUCCUGGGGCUCGAACCCCAGAACUGCCUUUGAUACUGGCUGUCUCGAGGUCGAGAGAGGUUGGUGGAAUUCCUAGUGUAGAGGUGAAAUUCGUAGAUAUUAGGAAGAACACCAGUGGCGAAGGCGGCCAACUGGCUCGAUACUGACGCUGAGGUGCGAAAGCGUGGGGAGCGAAAC